AUGUUAGACUGCAAGAGAGCCCCUAAGGCUGGAGCACUCCCCAAGUUAGCAGGCAGAGACAGAGACCUGAGUCCUACUGCUGAGUCAUUUAAAUCUGCUUUAGAUCCGGUUUUCUCAGGGCAUGGAAAGGACAGGGCUCCCAGUGGAGAUAUCAUGUAGCUAGGGCCUAGAAGUAUUUUUUCAGUACAAGAAAUUUAGAAAGAAUUUGCAUAUUUGAUGCUGGGGAGGUAGGUUGUGGAGUGAAAUGGUCGGGGAAAGGAAACACUGAGUUCAAGUGCUUCUAAAGGACACUUAACUGAUCUAAAUAUUUGUCAAGCUGAAUCACUACAUCCACUCUCACCUGCCUGAAAUCAAUAUGCUCAAGUCAAACGCAUUUGCCUGCAUCUGAAUGUGGAGAAUGAACUUCUUAAAGCUGAAAUGGCAGCUGGAAGGGGAGAGAGAAGAGCUGGACAGGGAGCCAGGACACCGGAGUUCUUUUCCACUGUGGUGGGACCUGGAAGAAGCUGUUGAAUGUCUGUAGGGUUAGCUUUUAAAUGCUGUGAGUCUUUGGAAAGCUGUGCGAAUAACUGCUAAACACCCAGGACAGCUUAUGCAUUUUUUGAAAAAGGAUCCUGGUGCUGGUUCCAGCAGAAUAGACACAGAGAUGCAUGGCCUAACUCCCACCCCCUCUUCAGGACUGAGCCACGCAGCCCCCCAUCUGCCAGAAGUGUUAGCUGUUGACGGCUCACAGCUGAGUCCCUCCCCAGGCAUUGCUGAAAAAAGCCACCUUGCUCUAGGAUGUGCCCCCACCCUGGGGGCAGCACACAUUCCAAGUGAUUAGUCCAUAGUGUGGUACAAAGGUUGUACCCAUCUUGCCUGAAUUCAGGAUCUCUUGGAAAACCAUCCCAGCUCUGCAGCUCCUGGUGGGGUGCUGAGGCCUCUGCUGCAGCUGCAUCGCAGUUUACUUUCCCCUCCGCCUAGUCCUGCUGCCGUCACUCCCCAACAGAUCACCUGCUCUGAACAUGCCAUCUACUAUGGAAAUCUUCAAUCUUUAAUUAAUUUCUCCUGUUACAGGAAGAUUAAGUCUAAAACGGUAUCUUCCCUAGUUGAUCCAGAACUAAAUAACAUUGUUUUCAGUACUUCCAGUAACUUGCUUACACUCUUACUUCUAAAGAAUUGAAUGUAUUAUCUUAUGUGCUUGUCACCCCCAGCUUGUGUCAUAGGAGAAAGUAUACGGAGAUCAGGUACAACUUCAGUUCAACAACUUAUGAGCUAUUGGAUCAGUCUCCUUAUUAAUCUCUCAGAGCCUCAAUUUCCUUGUUUAAAAUGGGGGCAAUACCUACCUUAAGGAAUUUCUUGAGGAUCAAAAGAAACCCUAGUAACAAAGCCUUGAACCAUGUCUGACUUAUAGUAUAUAUUCUAACUGCAAGUUCUUUUCAUGUUUUGUCCAUGAAUUCUUCAUUCAUUCAUCCAACAACCAAGCAUUCACUGAUGCUCCAAUUGUGCAAGACACCGUUUUAGGCCUUGAGGAUACAAACUGCACAAGCAGGACAACGUACCCAGUGUUACGCAGGGUCUGGUCUAGUGGGAGGAGAAGACAGUGACCAUGGCCCGUGAUGAGUGACAGAAUGAUAAGUAAUCAGGAAGAUAUGAUAGGAAAUACAGGGAGAAUGGGAGAGUCUGCUUUAUGUUGCAUAAUCAGAGGGCAACUCUGGACAGGCAAAAUUUGAGCUGAGACCUGAAUGACAAGGAGUGAAGCCAAUGGAACAUCUGAAAGAAUAGUUUUCUGAAAAGAGAGCCCAGCUAGUGUGAGCCCUAAAGUAGGUAGAAAAUGGGCUUGGAGGGUUUUAUAUGAGGAGUAGCAGGAAGUAGGCAGAGGCCUGGUCAUUGUAGGUCAUGUUGGCUAGAGUAAAGAGCUUGUGUUUGAUUCUCAGGGCAAUGAAGAGCCUUUGGAGAAUUUAAAGCAAAGUGGGGAGGGGGAACAAGAGCUGAUUUACAUUAUUUUGAACAGCACCAGGAGGGAUAGUACUGGAUAACAAGAGUGGUAAAAGGAGACCAUUUAGGAGGUUAUAGCAAUUGUCCAGGGUGGCCUGGCCUGCCACGGUAGCCACAGAGACGGUGAGAGGUGAGGAGGUGCCAGGUACCGUCAUGGGGGACAUAAUGACAUUCGAUCAAUGCUGAACUACAUAUAUGAUAGUGGUACCAUGAGAUGAUAAUGCAGCUGAAAAAUUCCCAUCACCUAGUGACCUCGUAGCUGCUGGAACAUUGCAGGGCAAUGCAUACACGCAUGUAUGUGGUGAUACUGGUGUACACAAACCUACUAUGCUGCCAGUCCUAUAAAAGUAUAGCACAUAGGAUUAUGUACAGUACAUGACACUUGAUAAUGAUAACAAAUGACUAUGUUACUGGUUUAUGCAUUUACCAUACUAUACUUUUAUCGUUAUUUUAGAGAGUACUCCCUCUACUUAUUUAAUAAAUAUAGUUAACUGUAAAA
Molecule: long non-coding RNA, 2473 nt
Organism: Pongo pygmaeus (Bornean orangutan)
Lineage: Eukaryota; Metazoa; Chordata; Mammalia; Primates; Hominidae
Exons: 3
Source: RefSeq, a predicted model, not a curated record